This 450-nucleotide ribosomal RNA is filed under the name uncultured bacterium. Its description in RNAcentral is "bacterial SSU rRNA". It matches the Rfam family "Bacterial small subunit ribosomal RNA", at positions 354 to 796 of the family's 1533-position model. The record is from RNAcentral.
GUGGGGAAUAUUGGACAAUGGGGGCAACCCUGAUCCAGCAAUGCCGCGUGUGUGAAGAAGGCCUGCGGGUUGUAAAGCACUUUCGGUGGGGAGGAAAAGCCACGGGUUAAUAACCCGGGGUCUUGACGUAACCCACAUAAGAAGCACCGGCUAACUCCGUGCCAGCAGCCGCGGUAAUACGGAGGGUGCGAGCGUUAAUCGGAAUUACUGGGCGUAAAGCGUGCGUAGGCGGAUACUUGAGUCGGAUGUGAAAGCCCCGGGCUUAACCUGGGAAUUGCAUCCGAUACUGGGUGUCUAGAGUGUGGUAGAGGGGGGUAGAAUUCCUGGUGUAGCGGUGAAAUGCGUAGAUAUCAGGAGGAAUACCGGUGGCGAAGGCGACCCCCUGGACCAACACUGACGCUGAGGUACGAAAGCGUGGGUAGCAAACAGGAUUAGAUACCCGAGUAGUCC